Molecule: ribosomal RNA, 923 nt
Filed under: Arthrobacter sp. Totalp-F
Lineage: Bacteria; Bacillati; Actinomycetota; Actinomycetes; Micrococcales; Micrococcaceae
Description: bacterial SSU rRNA
Rfam family: Bacterial small subunit ribosomal RNA
Source: RNAcentral
CGGUAAUACGUAGGGCGCAAGCGUUAUCCGGAAUUAUUGGGCGUAAAGAGCUCGUAGGCGGUUUGUCGCGUCUGCCGUGAAAGUCCGGGGCUCAACUCCGGAUCUGCGGUGGGUACGGGCAGACUAGAGUGAUGUAGGGGAGACUGGAAUUCCUGGUGUAGCGGUGAAAUGCGCAGAUAUCAGGAGGAACACCGAUGGCGAAGGCAGGUCUCUGGGCAUUAACUGACGCUGAGGAGCGAAAGCAUGGGGAGCGAACAGGAUUAGAUACCCUGGUAGUCCAUGCCGUAAACGUUGGGCACUAGGUGUGGGGGACAUUCCACGUUUUCCGCGCCGUAGCUAACGCAUUAAGUGCCCCGCCUGGGGAGUACGGCCGCAAGGCUAAAACUCAAAGGAAUUGACGGGGGCCCGCACAAGCGGCGGAGCAUGCGGAUUAAUUCGAUGCAACGCGAAGAACCUUACCAAGGCUUGACAUGGGCCGGACCGGGCUGGAAACAGUCCUUCCCCUUUGGGGCCGGUUCACAGGUGGUGCAUGGUUGUCGUCAGCUCGUGUCGUGAGAUGUUGGGUUAAGUCCCGCAACGAGCGCAACCCUCGUUCCAUGUUGCCAGCGCGUAAUGGCGGGGACUCAUGGGAGACUGCCGGGGUCAACUCGGAGGAAGGUGGGGACGACGUCAAAUCAUCAUGCCCCUUAUGUCUUGGGCUUCACGCAUGCUACAAUGGCCGGUACAAAGGGUUGCGAUACUGUGAGGUGGAGCUAAUCCCAAAAAGCCGGUCUCAGUUCGGAUUGGGGUCUGCAACUCGACCCCAUGAAGUCGGAGUCGCUAGUAAUCGCAGAUCAGCAACGCUGCGGUGAAUACGUUCCCGGGCCUUGUACACACCGCCCGUCAAGUCACGAAAGUUGGUAACACCCGAAGCCGGUGGCCUA